UAAAUUUGCAGAUCCAGUGCCAAAUACUCUACGUAGGCAGUUUAACGAGGACUUCCUGUUACCGACUAGCUCCAAUGAAAAUGAUCUUCCUUUAAUCUAAAGAAUAGGCGUCUAACAGGCAGAACCAGAUUCUCCAGGUGUGAAGUAAGCAAUCUAUUUUCACUUGCUAUUAACAGCAAACGUACAACUUUAUCUCUUAUUUGACUUCAUUAUUUGGCUUUCAAAUUAACAACAUGAAAACUAUACAGAAAUUAGUCUGUGCCCUAUAAGACAGAGAUUUAGAUAAUUUGUUCAAAACAUGAGAUGAUAUUCAGAUAUUCUCUCAAAGGCAGGACUCCAACACCGCAGGUGGAAAACCAACAAAAGGAAGAAAACAGAAAGGUGGGGGAGAUAAGGAGUAGCCAGGAAAAAGAAAAUAGUGAUAAAGGAAGAGCCAAAAAGUCUUAGGUAUGCCUUUAUCAGCACCAUGAAAACAGAAUGAGACACUGGCCAAGGCCUUAUUUGCCAUCACAACAUGCUGUCAGGCUUGUGUGUAGGAGCAAGUAGAGAAGAACUAAAGAUUGUCACAACCUGCUACUGUGGUCAUCCACUCUACUUCCCACAAAUAACAAUGAAUUCAGGCUCUGUCAAUUUGUAAUUUUGUGAUUAUAGAAAAGUUUCUUAAUCUUUAGGUUUAUUUCCUUCUAUUAAAUGAAGCUUUUCAGAGGUCUUGUUUUCUGCUUGCUUGUUAUUGGGGGUAGGAGGAGAAAGUUAUCCAAGCAUUAAAAUGACUUCUAAGGCACUGUGCGUUACCUCAACUAGUUUAGGCUCAGAUAAGGCGCGGGCAGAAGAAAUUAGAUGCUGUAAAUAUUUGGCAUAUGAGUGGUCCAGAUGUCUGUGGGCACUAAGGAGGAAGCUGUGUGCAACAAAGAGAACUGCCACCUGACUCUAAUACAGGUAUCCCCUCCUGCUACCCUUCUACAGCCCCCAUCCCCUAGCACUGAGCUUAGCACAGUUCUGCUGAACAUCUUUUCUACUUAUUAUACAGCAGAUCUGUCAGUGCCAGACCUAUUAUAUGCCAGGCAUUAUUUCUAGUUGCAGAGGUUAUGUUAGUUUAAAGAAAGAAUUUCUUAUCUGCAUGGAACUAUGAAAGGAACUUGAAGGACUUUAAGCUAAGAAGCAGUAAAAUUAUCAAAAUUGUAUUUUUAAAAGUCUCAUAUUCUUUACAUAUUCUUGUAUUGUUUCACUGGUCAUAACAAGCAUGUACCAGUUUUGUAAUCUGAAAAAUAUCAAAUAAAGAAAAGAACUGCUGGCAGUGUAGAGGAGAGCUUGGGGGGCAGGCAAGACUGGCAGUUAGAGACUGGUUAAGGGACUGUUCCUAUCAGCAACACAGGUGAUUAGAGAAGAGGAAUUGAAGGGAGGUAACACUAAAGGGAAAUGGAGUAGUGAAGAGAUUCAAACGAUAGUAAGACAGUAACAUCAAUAAGAGAAAUUAAUUGCAAGUCAGAGAGAAAAAGGUAAACAGGAGAACUUUCAAAUAUGGGGCUUGGUCAGACAUUCAAGAGGUGUUUAUAAACAUAUCAAAA
This 1565-nucleotide long non-coding RNA is filed under the name Homo sapiens (human). Its description in RNAcentral is "HSALNT0312927". Lineage: Eukaryota; Metazoa; Chordata; Mammalia; Primates; Hominidae. The record is from RNAcentral.